AGUGCUCACUUCACAUAUUACUAAAAUUAGAACGGCACAGAGAAGAUUAACAUGGCCCUUGGGUAAGGAUGGCAUGCAGAUUUGUGAACUGUUCCAUAUUUUU
This is a small nuclear RNA of Suricata suricatta (meerkat), 103 nucleotides long. The record is from Ensembl. Lineage: Eukaryota; Metazoa; Chordata; Mammalia; Carnivora; Herpestidae.